Long non-coding RNA from Populus euphratica (Euphrates poplar), 1045 nucleotides. RefSeq lists it as uncharacterized. NCBI's taxonomy places the organism in Eukaryota, Viridiplantae, Streptophyta, Magnoliopsida, Malpighiales, Salicaceae. The transcript has 3 exons. The record is from RefSeq and is a predicted model, not a curated record.
AAUAUUCGUCCUAAACUAAAGCUACAAAUACCCCACACUCUCACUACUCGUAACUGGUGAGCUUCUCAAUUGAUCAUAUAGACUUAACUUCUGUAAUAAAAAAAGGCUUAAAACAAUAGCAAUAAGAGGCAAGUGAGGCCAAAUUCUUUUUUCAUAAAUCGUGAAAGAUAUAGUGGACAUGGAGGGGGUAGAAGAAGAUGUGAGGGUGGGUGCAAAUAGGUAUAUAGCGAGGCAACCCAUAGGAACAGCUGCUCAAAACCAAGACGUCGAGGACUGUACAGAACCACCUCCAGCACCACUUCUUGAGCCUGGGGAAUUGUCAUCAGGGUGGGGGCGGAAAAAUCCCGCACCAAGUGUUCUACGGUUGGAAUUCAGGGCAUUGCUUGGGCGUUUGGUGGGAUGAUUUUUGCUCUUGUCUAUUGCACUGCUGGCAUUUCAGCAGCAGAAGCUACUUUUUCAAGGAGCGAGUAUGUGUCGGUGACAAGUGAAGACAGUGCACAGUUCAUUUUCCUCUCAAUCAAUUAGAAGACCGUGAAAUAAAUCUAACUACACCAGGAUAAACAUCUGUCCCAAAAACAAUAGAUUUGGCUACUUCUCUUAGACAUGAUCCAAGAUCGAUUGAGUUUUUGUUGAAACUCACAUGUGAAAUGAGAACCGUCAGAAAGCAGUGUAAUAACUCAUUGAUAGUCAAGCUCAAAAGUUGAUGGUAAGUUGAAUUUCAACAAUUGUUUUCUUAAGUUAUUACUUUUUUUUUUAAAAAAAGUUGGUAAUAGUUUUUUCUUGGGAAAUAUUAACACUUGAUUACAAAAGAUACAAAGAUGAUCCUUCAAUUUAUUUAGAACUUGAUCCAUAUUUGUGGUUAGAGGCUAGAUUAUUCGGUAAACUCAAUAUAAAUUAGGUUUAUGGUAUCUCAAAUACUACAAGUGAUGAUAUGCAGAUGAACUAUAAUGUAUCGACCAUUACUUCCUCGCAAUCAGGUUUGAGCUUCCAAUCUCCGAUUGUCUAACUAAUUGUACGACCCUGCUUAAUGUUGAGACGACCCAAC